GGUCGAGUCGGCCUGCGCGGAAGAUGUAACGGGGCUAAACCAUGCACCGAAGCUGCGGCAGCGACACUGUGUGUUGUUGGGUAGGGGAGCGUUCUGUAAGCCUGUGAAGGUGUGUCGUGAGGCAUGCUGGAGGUAUCAGAAGUGCGAAUGCUGACAUAAGUAACGAUAAAGCGGGUGAAAAGCCCGCUCGCCGGAAGACCAAGGGUUCCUGUCCAACGUUAAUCGGGGCAGGGUGAGUCGACCCCUAAGGCGAGGCCGAAAGGCGUAGUCGAUGGGAAACGGGUUAAUAUUCCCGUACUUGGUGUUACUGCGAAGGGGGGACGGAGAAGGCUAUGUUGGCCGGGCGACGGUUGUCCCGGUUUAAGCGUGUAGGUGUGUGUUCCAGGUAAAUCCGGUUCACUUUAACACUGAGGCGUGACGACGAGGCACUACGGUGCUGAAGCAACAAAUGCCCUGCUUCCAGGAAAAGCCUCUAAGCAUCAGGUAACAUCAAAUCGUACCCCAAACCGACACAGGUGGUCAGGUAGAGAAUACCAAGGCGCUUGAGAGAACUCGGGUGAAGGAACUAGGCAAAAUGGUGCCGUAACUUCGGGAGAAGGCACGCUGACACGUAGGUGAAGUGAUUUACUCAUGGAGCUGAAGUCAGUCGAAGAUACCAGCUGGCUGCAACUGUUUAUUAAAAACACAGCACUGUGCAAACACGAAAGUGGACGUAUACGGUGUGACGCCUGCCCGGUGCCGGAAGGUUAAUUGAUGGGGUCAGCGCAAGCGAAGCUCCUGAUCGAAGCCCCGGUAAACGGCGGCCGUAACUAUAACGGUCCUAAGGUAGCGAAAUUCCUUGUCGGGUAAGUUCCGACCUGCACGAAUGGCGUAAUGAUGGCCAGGCUGUCUCCACCCGAGACUCAGUGAAAUUGAACUCGCUGUGAAGAUGCAGUGUACCCGCGGCAAGACGGAAAGACCCCGUGAACCUUUACUAUAGCUUGACACUGAACAUUGAGCCUUGAUGUGUAGGAUAGGUGGGAGGCUUUGAAGUGUGGACGCCAGUCUGCAUGGAGCCGACCUUGAAAUACCACCCUUUAAUGUUUGAUGUUCUAACGUGGACCCGUUACCCGGGUUGCGGACAGUGUCUGGUGGGUAGUUUGACUGGGGCGGUCUCCUCCUAAAGAGUAACGGAGGAGCACGAAGGUUGGCUAAUCCUGGUCGGACAUCAGGAGGUUAGUGCAAUGGCAUAAGCCAGCUUGACUGCGAGCGUGACGGCGCGAGCAGGUGCGAAAGCAGGUCAUAGUGAUCCGGUGGUUCUGAAUGGAAGGGCCAUCGCUCAACGGAUAAAAGGUACUCCGGGGAUAACAGGCUGAUACCGCCCAAGAGUUCAUAUCGACGGCGGUGUUUGGCACCUCGAUGUCGGCUCAUCACAUCCUGGGGCUGAAGUAGGUCCCAAGGGUAUGGCUGUUCGCCAUUUAAAGUGGUACGCGAGCUGGGUUUAGAACGUCGUGAGACAGUUCGGUCCCUAUCUGCCGUGGGCGCUGGAGAACUGAGGGGGGCUGCUCCUAGUACGAGAGGACCGGAGUGGACGCAUCACUGGUGUUCGGGUUGUCAUGCCAAUGGCACUGCCCGGUAGCUAAAUGCGGAAGAGAUAAGUGCUGAAAGCAUCUAAGCACGAAACUUGCCCCGA
RNAcentral lists this ribosomal RNA (1672 nucleotides) under Salmonella enterica. Its description in RNAcentral is "partial 23S ribosomal RNA". It matches the Rfam family "Bacterial large subunit ribosomal RNA", at positions 1147 to 2802 of the family's 2925-position model. Lineage: Bacteria; Pseudomonadati; Pseudomonadota; Gammaproteobacteria; Enterobacterales; Enterobacteriaceae. The record is from RNAcentral. RNAcentral also lists the same sequence under 1 other name.